This 229-nucleotide unclassified non-coding RNA is filed under the name Hevea brasiliensis (rubber tree). Lineage: Eukaryota; Viridiplantae; Streptophyta; Magnoliopsida; Malpighiales; Euphorbiaceae. The record is from RNAcentral.
CUCAAGCUUUGCGUUGAAGUCGGUGGUUGUCUCACCGGCGAACACGGUGUCGGUAUCGAGAAGCGCGAUCUGAUGCGUCACCAAUUCAGUGAGAUCGAUCUUGCCCAACAGAUACGCUUGCGUGCAGCGUUCGAUUCAAAAUGGCUGCUCAACACGGACAAGGUGUUUCCUGUUGACUGCCGAAAUCAAACAUAACGUUGGACGGAUUUGGCUAUGUCUGGAGAUCUGA